Molecule: long non-coding RNA, 651 nt
Filed under: Bos taurus (domestic cattle)
Lineage: Eukaryota; Metazoa; Chordata; Mammalia; Artiodactyla; Bovidae
Description: long non-coding RNA NONBTAT015569
Source: RNAcentral
GAAUGCCUUCUAAAAUUGCUUUCAUGUACAUUAUUUCAUGUACAAUUGCAGUUUAUUCCAGAACAAUGCAAUGUGAUAUUUAUAAACAUAAUCCCAUAGUGUAACAUAUUUAUUCAGUGAUGGACAACUUUCAGUCCAUUGAUUGAAGAAGAAUGUGCCAAUUGUUCAUCAGAUUCAAGCAUUUGUAUCCUCCAUGGUUCCUCUUGAAGUAACACAAACAGCUGUGAAUAAGGAAGCAUGCUGAAGCUAUUUCUAUGUUAUACACGUAAUCAGUGGUAAAUUCCAUUUAAUGCAUGUCUGCCUAUAAAAAUCCAUUGAAGCUUUACUAUUCAAGUAGGGUUUCAUCUUGAAUUUGAGAUUACCAUUCAAAUAGCAGCAGCAGUGUUAGUGUUGACAGUUUAUAUUGUAGAACCUGCAUGUAUUCAGAUGUGCAGAAAUGGUGAUAGACAACAGUAAAUAAGAUAUGUAUAUAAUAACCAUACAAAAAUUCAACUUUUACAAUUGAAUUUUCUCAACAAAAAACCUAGAUUUCUUUUUCCUUUUUUAGGUUUCAGGAGGCACUUACACUUAGGAAAAAAAUCAUCUAACCAUCUAAAAAUCAUCUAAUCUUCUUUUCUGUAUUUUUAUUUUCUCCUCCCUGUCUCUCUUGUC